Oncorhynchus keta (chum salmon) is the source of this 2942-nucleotide long non-coding RNA. RefSeq lists it as uncharacterized. NCBI's taxonomy places the organism in Eukaryota, Metazoa, Chordata, Actinopteri, Salmoniformes, Salmonidae. The transcript has 3 exons. The record is from RefSeq and is a predicted model, not a curated record.
GUAGCCUCUGUUAUUGGUAAUGGUGAGAGGUUAGCAUGUUUUGUUGUAGUCUCUGUUAUUGGUAAUGGUGAGAGGUUAGCAUGUUUUGUUGUAACCUCUGUUAUUGGUAAUGGUGAGAGGUUAGUAUGUUUUGUUGUAGUCUCUGUUAUUGGUAAUGGUGAGAGGUUAUUAUGUUUUGUUGUAGUCUCUGUUAUUGGUAAUGGUGAGAGGUUAGCAUGUUUUGUUGUAGCCUCUGUUAUUGGUAAUGGUGAGGUUAGCAUGCUUUGUUUGUUGUAUUCUCUGUUAUUGGUAAUGGUGAGAGGUUAGCAUGUUUUGUUGUAGCCUCUGUUAUUGGUAAUGGUGAGAGGUUAGCAUGUUUUGUUGUAGCCUCUGUUAUUGGUAAUGGUGAGAGGUUAGCAUGUUUUGUUGUAGCAUCUGUUAUUGGUAAUGGUGAGAGGUUAGCAUGUUUUGUUGUAGCCUCUGUUAUUGGUAAUGGUGAGAGGUUAGCAUGUUUUGUUGUAGCCUCUGUUAUUGGUAAUGGUGAGAGGUUAGCAUGUUUUGUUGUAGUCUCUGUUAUUGGUAAUGGUGAGAGGUUAGCAUGUUUUGUUGUAACCUCUGUUAUUGGUAAUGGUGAGAGGUUAGUAUGUUUUGUUGUAGUCUCUGUUAUUGGUAAUGGUGAGAGGUUAUUAUGUUUUGUUGUAGUCUCUGUUAUUGGUAAUGGUGAGAGGUUAGCAUGUUUUGUUGUAGCCUCUGUUAUUGGUAAUGGUGAGGUUAGCAUGCUUUGUUUGUUGUAUUCUCUGUUAUUGGUAAUGGUGAGAGGUUAGUAUGUUUUGUUGUAGCCUCUGUAAUUGGUAAUGGUGAGAGGUUAGUAUGUUUUGUUGUAUCCUCUGUUAUUGGUAAUGGUGAGAGGUUAGUAUGUUUUGUUGUAGCCUCUGUUAUUGGUAAUGGUGAGAGGUUAGUAUGUUUUGUUGUAAUCUCUGUAAUUGGUAAUGGUGAGAGGUUAGUAUGUUUUGUUGUAGCCUCUGUUAUUGGUAAUGGUGAGAGGUUAGUAUGUUUUGUUGUCGUCUGUUAUUGGUAAUGGUGAGAGGUUAGCAUGUUUUGUUGUAGCCUCUGUUAUUGGUAAUGGUGAGAGGUUAGCAUGUUUUGUUGUAGCCUCUGUUAUUGGUAAUGGUGAGAGGUUAGCAUGUUUUGUUCUAGCCUCUGUUAUUGGUAAUGGUGAGAGGUUAGUAUGUUUUGUUGUAAUCUCUGUAAUUGGUAAUGGUGAGAGGUUAGUAUGUUUUGUUGUAAUCUCUGUAAUUGGUAAUGGUGAUGUUGUACCAUCUGUAACUGUCACACUCAUUAUCAUGGCAUCAUCAGGAUUAGUUUAGUAGUGCUUAGAAAGAUGUUAUCUACUCAGACAAAAAAUUACUCCAGUCAUGAAUCACAAUUGUUUUAAUGAACAAAAAUAACCCAAAAUAACCCAAAACAAACUGUAAAUGCAACAAACGAGUUUGUCACGACUUCCGCCGAGGUCGGUCCCUCUCCUUGUUCGGGCGGCGUUCGGUGGUCGACGUCACCGGCCUUCUAGCCAUCGCAGAUCCACUUUCAUUUUCCAUUUGUUUUGUCUUUGUUUUACACAGCUGGUUUCAUUUCCCCAAUUACAUGUUCAAUAUUUAACCCUCUUUUUCCCCUUUGUUUUCUGUCUGUUCGGUCUGUUAUUGUGGGCUCGGUAUUACGACAUGUUAGUAGAAUAUUUGAGUAAAGUUACUUGUGUUACUCAUCUCUGCUGUCCUGCGCCUGACUCCUCUGCACCAGCUACACCCAGACCAUUACAGGGACACAUCUCUGCUGUCCUGCGCCUGACUCCUCUGCACCAGCUACACCCAGACCAUUACAGGGACACAUCUCUGCUGUCCUGCGCCUGACUCCUCUGCACCAGCCUCACCCAGACCAUUACAGAGACACAUCUCUGCUGUCCUGCGCCUGACUCCUCUGCACCAGCCUCACCCAGACCAUUACAGAGACACAUCUCUGCUGUCCUGACUCCUCUGCACCAGCUACACCCAGACCAUUACAGAGACACAUCUCUGCUGUCCUGCGCCUGACUCCUCUGCACCAGCCUCACCCAGACCAUUACAGAGACACAUCUCUGCUGUCCUGACUCCUCUGCACCAGCUACACACAGACCACUACAGGGACACAUCUCUGCUGUCCUGACUCCUCUGCACCAGCUACACACAGACCACUACAGAGACACAUCUCUGCUGUCCUGACUCCUCUGCACCAGCCUCACCCAGACCAUUACAGAGACACAUCUCUGCUGUCCUGACUCCUCUGCACCAGCCUCACCCAGACCAUUACAGAGACACAUCUCUGCUGUCCUGACUCCUCUGCACCAGCCUCACCCAGACCAUUACAGAGACACAUCUCUGCUGUCCUGACUCCUCUGCACCAGCCUCACCCAGACCAUUACAGAGACACAUCUCUGCUGUCCUGACUCCUCUGCACCAGCCUCACCCAGACCAUUACAGAGACACAUCUCUGCUGUCCUGACUCCUCUGCACCAGCUACACCCAGACCAUUACAGAGACACAUCUCUGCUGUCCUGACUCCUCUGCACCAGCCUCACCCAGACCACUACAGAGUUUCAGUCACAAGCUGGAUGAAGUCAUUGCGUUCAAGGAAUAUCGGACCAAAUACUCAACUUUUGACUAUUUUAAUACACUGAAAGUUAAUUGGUCAGAAUACUUAUGAUUUCUUCAAAUGGGGGGACUAGAUAUAUAAAGUGCUUUUAUUUUUCUAAAUGGUGAAACAGACAUGUAUUAAAAUACCCUCAAAAAAACGGUGACAUUAUAAACUGUCACCUCAUAUGAAACAUUUGAUCUGAAAUCCAAAAUGUUGGAGAAUAGAGACACAUUUAAAAUGUUAGCUUCACUGUCUAAAUAGAUGUGGUGUGGACUGUAUACUCAAUACAAUCUAAAUCU